RNAcentral lists this long non-coding RNA (348 nucleotides) under Crocodylus porosus (Australian saltwater crocodile). RNAcentral's name for it is "lncRNA (ENSCPRG00005008642.1)". Lineage: Eukaryota; Metazoa; Chordata; Crocodylia; Crocodylidae. The record is from RNAcentral.
UGCCGAGCCCUCGCUCCUCUCCAAGCCAAGUCUCGCCUGAUGAUCUCGCCGCCUCCCCGGGCCCGCCGCGAGCUGCGGCGCGGCCGCGUUGGUGGCGGGGGGCCCGCUCGGUCGGCUUGGGAGCCGCUGCGCGAGCGAGCCGUCAGUUUCCCAACGGCCUCGUUUCCCGUCCUUGGGAAUGCCAGGCUGCGUGCACGUAGACAUGAGGAUCCUCUGAAGGUCCGGUGGGCUGGAGCAGCAUGGGCCAAGCAGCCAGAGCCCAGUGCAGGGCAGGGGACCCACUCAGCCCUGCCACACCCUGUGAUGUUCUUCCUGGAGUUGCGGACCAUGCUUGGUGCAGAUGGGUGA